GAUGAACGCUAGCGGCAGGCCUAACACAUGCAAGUCGAGGGGCAGCACAUGAGUAGCAAUACGAUGGUGGCGACCGGCGCACGGGUGAGUAACACGUAUGCAACCUGCCUGUAAGAGGGGGAUAACCCGGAGAAAUUCGGACUAAUACCGCAUAAUACCACGAGACUGCAUGGUUUUGUGGUUAAACAUUUAUGGCUUACAGAUGGGCAUGCGUAUGAUUAGAUAGUUGGUAGGGUAACGGCCUACCAAGUCUACGAUCAUUAGGGGUUCUGAGAGGAAGGUCCCCCACACUGGUACUGAGACACGGACCAGACUCCUACGGGAGGCAGCAGUGAGGAAUAUUGGUCAAUGGGCGAGAGCCUGAACCAGCCAAGUCGCGUGAAGGAAAGAAGGUUCUAUGGAUUGUAAACUUCUUUUGCAGGGGAAUAAAGGACGGUACGUGUACUGUUUUGUAUGUACCUUGCGAAUAAGGAUCGGCUAACUCCGUGCCAGCAGCCGAC
Molecule: ribosomal RNA, 500 nt
Filed under: uncultured bacterium
Lineage: Bacteria
Description: bacterial SSU rRNA
Rfam family: Bacterial small subunit ribosomal RNA
Source: RNAcentral